RNAcentral lists this ribosomal RNA (246 nucleotides) under uncultured bacterium. RNAcentral's name for it is "partial 16S ribosomal RNA". It matches the Rfam family "Bacterial small subunit ribosomal RNA", at positions 116 to 354 of the family's 1533-position model. The record is from RNAcentral.
CGUGGGUAACCUGCCCAAGAGACUGGGAUAACACCUGGAAACAGAUGCUAAUACCGGAUAACAACACUAGACGCAUGUCUAGAGUUUAAAAGAUGGUUCUGCUAUCACUCUUGGAUGGACCUGCGGUGCAUUAGCUAGUUGGUAAGGUAACGGCUUACCAAGGCAAUGAUGCAUAGCCGAGUUGAGAGACUGAUCGGCCACAUUGGGACUGAGACACGGUCCAAACUCCUACGGGAGGCAGCAGAC